RNAcentral lists this ribosomal RNA (121 nucleotides) under Pseudomonas fulva. RNAcentral's name for it is "partial 16S ribosomal RNA". It matches the Rfam family "Bacterial small subunit ribosomal RNA", at positions 1415 to 1533 of the family's 1533-position model. The record is from RNAcentral. Lineage: Bacteria; Pseudomonadati; Pseudomonadota; Gammaproteobacteria; Pseudomonadales; Pseudomonadaceae.
UUGCACCAGAAGUAGCUAGUCUAACCUUCGGGAGGACGGUUACCACGGUGUGAUUCAUGACUGGGGUGAAGUCGUAACAAGGUAGCCGUAGGGGAACCUGCGGCUGGAUCACCUCCUUAAU